AUACGUAGGGGGCGAGCGUUGUCCGGAAUUACUGGGCGUAAAGAGCGUGUAGGCGGGUGCUUAAGUCAGGUGUGAAAGACCGGGGCUCAACUCCGGGGUUGCACUUGAAACUGGGCAUCUUGAGGGCAGGAGAGGAAAGUGGAAUUCCUGGUGUAGCGGUGAAAUGCGUAGAUAUCAGGAGGAACACCGGUGGCGAAGGCGGCUUUCUGGACUGACCCUGACGCUGAGACGCGAAAGCGUGGGGAGCAAACAGGAUUAGAUACCCUGGUAGUCCACGCUGUAAACGAUGGGCACUAGGUGUAGGAGGUAUCGACCCCUUCUGUGCCGCAGCUAACGCAAUAAGUGCCCCGCCUGGGGAGUACGGUCGCAAGGCUGAA
RNAcentral lists this ribosomal RNA (377 nucleotides) under uncultured bacterium. RNAcentral describes it as "bacterial SSU rRNA". It matches the Rfam family "Bacterial small subunit ribosomal RNA", at positions 523 to 898 of the family's 1533-position model. The record is from RNAcentral.